RNAcentral lists this ribosomal RNA (433 nucleotides) under uncultured bacterium. RNAcentral's name for it is "partial 16S ribosomal RNA". It matches the Rfam family "Bacterial small subunit ribosomal RNA", at positions 29 to 507 of the family's 1533-position model. The record is from RNAcentral.
AACGAACGCUGGCGGCAUGCCUAACACAUGCAAGUCGAACGAGACCUUCGGGUCUAGUGGCGCACGGGUGCGUAACGCGUGGGAACCUGCCCUUAGGUUCGGAAUAACUCCCCGAAAGGGGUGCUAAUACCGGAUAAUGUCUUCGGACCAAAGAUUUAUCGCCUUUGGAUGGGCCCGCGUUGGAUUAGCUAGUUGGUAGGGUAAAAGCCUACCAAGGCGACGAUCCAUAGCUGGUCUGAGAGGAUGGUCAGCCACACUGGGACUGAGACACGGCCCAGACUCCUACGGGAGGCAGCAGUGGGGAAUAUUGGACAAUGGGCGGAAGCCUGAUCCAGCAAUGCCGCGUGAGUGAUGAAGGCCUGAGGGUUGUAAAGCUCUUUUACCCGGGAUGAUAAUGACAGUACCGGGAGAAUAAGCUCCGGCUAACUCCGUG